This 477-nucleotide ribosomal RNA is filed under the name uncultured bacterium. RNAcentral describes it as "partial 16S ribosomal RNA". It matches the Rfam family "Bacterial small subunit ribosomal RNA", at positions 29 to 523 of the family's 1533-position model. The record is from RNAcentral.
AACAAACGCUGGCGGCGUGCCUAAUACAUGCAAGUCGAACGAGGAAAGCUUUCGGGUGAGUACUAGUGGCGCACGGGUGAGGAAUAUAUGGGUAAUCUGCCCUCGAGUUGGGGAUAACCAGUCGAAAGACUGGCUAAUACCGAAUAAGACCACAGGAUCUGCGGAUCUAGGGGUUAAAGGUUUUUCGCUUGAGGAUGAGCCCAUACGGGAUUAGCUAGUUGGCGAGGUAAUGGCUCACCAAGGCUACGAUCCCUAGCUGGUCUUAGAGGAUGAUCAGUCACACUGGAACUGAGACACGGUCCAGACUCCUACGGGAGGCAGCAGUAGGGAAUAUUGCACAAUGGGGAAACCCUGAUGCAGCGACGCCGCGUGAGUGAUGAAGGCCUUCGGGUCGUAAAGCUCUGUCGUAUGGGACUAGCACAAUGAAGGUACCAUGCAAGAAAGGAUCGGCUAACUUCGUGCCAGCAGCCGCAGUAA